GGGAAAAGAAGGCGUUAGAUUAGCCAAGGUGACUGCCUGGCAACCUCAAAAAGAGUUUCAACGCAUUUUGCAUUUUGAACCUCUUAAUUUGGAAAAGGUGCAGGCAAGUCAUCCUUGGCUACCAAACAUGCACUCUUUUCU
Non-coding RNA from Corchorus olitorius, 141 nucleotides. The record is from Rfam. Lineage: Eukaryota; Viridiplantae; Streptophyta; Magnoliopsida; Malvales; Malvaceae.